GUGGGGAAUAUUGGACAAUGGGCGAAAGCCUGAUCCAGCCAUGCCGCGUGAGUGAUGAAGGCCUUAGGGUUGUAAAGCUCUUUCAGUGGGGAAGAUAAUGACGGUACCCACAGAAGAAGCCCCGGCUAACUUCGUGCCAGCAGCCGCGGUAAUACGAAGGGGGCUAGCGUUGUUCGGAUUUACUGGGCGUAAAGCGCACGUAGGCGGAUCGUUAAGUCGGGGGUGAAAUCCUGGAGCUCAACUCCAGAACUGCCUUCGAUACUAGCGAUCUUGAGUCCGGAAGAGGUGAGUGGAACUCCUAGUGUAGAGGUGGAAUUCGUAGAUAUUAGGAAGAACACCAGUGGCGAAGGCGGCUCACUGGUCCGGUACUGACGCUGAGGUGCGAAAGCGUGGGGAGCAAACAGGAUUAGAAACCCGGGUAGUCC
This 425-nucleotide ribosomal RNA is filed under the name uncultured bacterium. Its description in RNAcentral is "partial 16S ribosomal RNA". It matches the Rfam family "Bacterial small subunit ribosomal RNA", at positions 354 to 796 of the family's 1533-position model. The record is from RNAcentral.